GUGGUUAUAGGGGAUCUAUAGGAUAUCUAAAGGGCAUUGGGGUGGUUAUAGGGGAUCUAUAGGGUGUCUGAAGGGGGGUAGGGUGGUUAUAAGGGAUCUAUGGUGUGUCUGAAGGGGGGUACGGUGGUUAUAGGGGAUAUAUGGGGUAUCUGAAGGGGGGUGGGGUGGCUAUAGGGCAUCUAUGGGGUGUCUAAAAGGGACUGGGGUGGUUAUAGGGCAACUAUAGGGGAUCUGAAGGGGGGUGGGGUGGUUAUAGGGGGUCUAUAGGGUAUCUAAAGGGGGGGUUAUAGGGGAUCUAUACGGUGUCUAAAAGGGAGUGGGGUGGUAAUAGGGUAUCUGAAGGGGGGUGGGGUGGCUAUAGGGCAUCUAUAGGGUAUUGGAAGGGGGGGUGGGGCAGUUAUAGGGGGAUCUAUAGGGUAUCUGAAGGGGGGUGGGGUGGUUAUAGGGGAUCUGAAGGGGGGUGGGGUGGUUUUAGGGUAUCUAUAGGGUAUCUGAAGGGGGUUGGGGUGGCUAUAGGGCAUCUAUAGGGUAUCUGAAGGGGGGUGGGGUGGUUAUAGGGGAUCUAUAGGGUGUCUGAAGGGGGGGUGGGGUGGUUGUAGGGGGUCUAUAGGGUAUCUAAAGGGGGGUUUAUAGGGGAUCUAUAGGGUGUCUAAAGGGAAUUGGGGUGGUUAUAGGGCAUCUAUAGGGUAUCUGAAGGGGGUUGGGGUGGUAAUAGGGGGUCUGAAGGGGUGUGGGGUGGUUAUAGGGGAUCUAUAGGGUAUCUGAAGGGGAGUGGGGUGGUUAUAGGGGAGCUAUAGGGUGUCUGAAAGGGAUUGAGGUGGUUAUAGGGGAUUUGUAGGGUAUCUAAAGGGGGUUGGGGUGGUUAUAGGGUAUCUAUAGGGUGUCUGAAGGGGGGUGGGGUGGUUAUAGGGGAUCUAUAGGGUGUCUGAAGGGGAUUGGGGUGGUUAUAGGGGAUCUAUGGGGUGUCUGAAGGGGAUUGGGGUGGUUAUAGGGGAUCUGUAGAGUAUUUAAAGGGGAUUGGGGUGGUUAUAUGGCAUCUAUAGGGUAUCUGAAGGGGGGUGGGGUGGUUAUAGGGGAUCUAUGGGGUGUUUAAAAGGGUUUGGGGCAGUUAUAGGGGAUCUGUAGGGUAUCAAAAGGGGUGUGGGGUGGUUAUAGGGGAUCUAUAGGGGAUAUGGGGUGGAUAUGGGGUAUCUAUAGAAAAUCUAUGGGGGGGUGGGGAGGUGCCUAUAGGGGCAAGAGAUACCCUAUAGGAUCUGGGGGUACCUGUAGGAUCUGGGCAAUGCCUAUGGGGUUGGAUGGUGCCUAUAGGGGCAGGGGGAACCCUAUAGGAUCAAGGGUGCCCUAUAGGAUCUGUGGGAUGCUUAUGGGGUUGGGCGGUGCCUAUAGGAUCUGGGGGUGCCUAUAGGAUCUGGGUGGUGCCUAUAGGGGCAGGGGGUGCCCUAUAGGAUCUGGGGGAGCCCUACGGGAUCUGUGGGAUGCUUAUGGGGUUGGGCGGUGCCUAUAGGGACAGGGGGAGCCCUAUAGGAUCUGGGGGUACCUGUAGGAUCUGAGCAAUGCCUAUGGGGUUGGAUGGUGCCUAUAGGGGCAAGGGGAGCCCUAUGGGAUCUGGGGGAGCCCUAAAGGAUCUGUGCGAUGCUUAUGGGGUUGGGCGGUGCCUAUAGGAUCUGGGGGUGCCUAUAGGAUUUGGGCAAUGUUUAUGGGGUUGGGCCGUGCCUAUAGGGGCAGGGGGAGCCCCAUAGGAUCUAGGGGUGCCCUAUAGGAUCUGUGGGAUGCUUAUGGGGUUGGGCGGUGCCUAUAGGAUCUCGGGUACCUAUAGGAUCUGGGCAGUGCCUAUAGCGGCACAGGGAGCCCUAUAGGAUCAGGGGGUACCUAUAGGAUCUGGGCAAUCCCUAUGGGGUUGGUUGGUAUCUAUAGGAUCUGGGGGUACCUAUAGGAUCUGUGUGGUGCCUAUAGG
Molecule: long non-coding RNA, 1954 nt
Filed under: Gallus gallus (chicken)
Lineage: Eukaryota; Metazoa; Chordata; Aves; Galliformes; Phasianidae
Description: lncRNA (ENSGALG00010028933.1)
Source: RNAcentral